Molecule: ribosomal RNA, 301 nt
Filed under: uncultured bacterium
Lineage: Bacteria
Description: partial 16S ribosomal RNA
Rfam family: Bacterial small subunit ribosomal RNA
Source: RNAcentral
CAGUCGCCGCGGGAACACGGAGGGGGCUAGCGUUGUUCGGAAUUACUGGGCGUAAAGCGCACGUAGGCGGCUUGGUAAGUUAGAGGUGAAAGCCUGGAGCUCAACUCCAGAAUUGCCUUUAAGACUGCCGAGCUAGCAGGUGAGAGAGGUAAGUGGAAUUCCGAGUGUAGAGGUGAAAUUCGUAGAUAUUCGGAAGAACACCAGUGGCGAAGGCGGCUUACUGGCUCAUACUGGACGCUGAGGUGCGAAAGCGUGGGGAGCAAACAGGAUUAGAUACCCCAGUAGUCCCUGUCUCUUAUAC